This 611-nucleotide ribosomal RNA is filed under the name uncultured Streptococcaceae bacterium. RNAcentral's name for it is "bacterial SSU rRNA". It matches the Rfam family "Bacterial small subunit ribosomal RNA", at positions 77 to 670 of the family's 1533-position model. Lineage: Bacteria; Bacillati; Bacillota; Bacilli; Lactobacillales; Streptococcaceae. The record is from RNAcentral.
GUUUACACUAGACUGAUGAGUUGCGAACGGGUGAGUAACCGCGUAGGUAACCUGCCUCAUACGGGGGAUAACUAUUGGAAACGAUAGCUAAUACCGCAUAAGAGUGAUUAACACAUGUUAGUUAUUUAAAAGGAGCAAUUCGCUUCACUGUGAGAUGGACCUGCGUUGUAUUAGCUAGUUGGUGAGGUAAAGGCUCACCAAGGCGACGAUACAUAGCCGACCUGAGAGGGUGAUCGGCCACACUGGGACUGAGACACGGCCCAGACUCCUACGGGAGGCAGCAGUAGGGAAUCUUCGGCAAUGGACGGAAGUCUGACCGAGCAACGCCGCGUGAGUGCAAGAAGGUUUUCGGAUCGUAAAGCUCUGUUGUUAGAGAAGGACGUUGGUAGGAGUGGAAAAUCUACCAAGUGACGGUAACUAACCAGUAAGGGACCGGCUAACUACGUGCCAGCAGCCGCGGUAAUACGUAGGUCCCGAGCGUUGUCCGGAUUUGAUUGGGCGUAAAGCGAGCGCAGGCGGUUCUUUAAGUCUGAAGUUAAAGGCAGUGGCUUAACCAUUGUACGCUUUGGAAACUGGAGGUACUUGAGUGCAGAAGGGGAGAGUGGAAUUCC